CUCCCUUAGACAAAAUAAACUUAUCUGCCUCAAAAACAAGUUUGAAACCAAACUUAUUCAACAGACUUCCAGACACUAAAUUUUUCCUAACUUCUGGUACAUAAUAUACAUCAUUUAAGGUUAAAACCUUUCCAGAAGUGAAUUGUAGUUCAACAGACCCUUUGCCUUUAAUUGUUGCGGUGGAAGAAUUUCCCAUGUACAAGACAUUGUCAUUUUCACAUUGUGUGAACUUUGUGAACAUGCUUUUGUCUUUGCACACAUGUUUGGUUGCUCCGGUAUCAAUCCACCAUGUAUUAUCAUCUUGUGCCAUAUUAAUUUCAGAUAUCAUUGCAACGAACUUUUCGUUAUUAUCAGCCUUAGAAGAUGAUUUCUUCUUUAAAAAUCGACAUUCAUUCUUGAAAUGUCCCGGCUUUCCACAAUGAUAGCAUGAGCCCUUUUGUUUCUUUUUGAACUUAGGUGCUCUAUCAGUCUGAUUGAACUUUCUCUUGAAUGGUUUAGUAGUCUGUACUUCCUCCGUAACAUGUACUUUGGCAUUUUCAGAAUUUAGGUUCUGAUCUUGUUUUCGAUACUCUUCUUCAAUACGAAGAUGAUUUGCCAAAGCCUCAAGAGAUAUUUCCUCUUUCUUAUGUUUUAGACUUCUUUUAAAGUCAUUCCAAGAUGGAGGAAGUUUGUCUAUUAUGGAGGAUACCACAAUCAUUUCAUCCAUUUUCAUAUCAUAUUGCUUAAAUUGAUUCAGCAUCUUUUCAAUAUCACGAAAUUGUUCCAUAACAGAACGACCAUCAACCAUUUGAUAAUUAUUGAAACGACUGACAAGAAAUUUCUUACUUGUAACAUCUUCGGUCAUGUAUCUUGCCUCCAAUUUGUCCCAUAAUUCUUUAGCGGUGACGUCGUUUUGGUAGGUGUCGAACAAACCAUCAGAUAAACCAUUCAGUAUGUGGCACAUGCACAUGUAAUCAGCAUUGUCCCAUUUUUGUCUUUCUCGGGUUGCAGCAACAGAUUCAUUUUCAUUCUCUUCAGGUCUUGGAGUAUCCAAAACAUAAGCAAUCUUCAAAGUUGAUAACAAAAAGUGCAUCUUUUUCUGCCAUCGUCGAAAAUUGCCACCAUCAAAACGAUCAAGUUUAACAAAGUUGGAAGCCAACUCCCUUAGUGUUCCACUUUCAUGUGUUGUGGUAGUCAUCAUGAAAUAUAACCUUAAAAUUGUUAGUACAAAACUCCGGUAAGAAAAAAAAACUCGAACACACGAUCGGAACUCGAAAAGAAAAAGAAGAAAUAGGACAGGCUCCAAGGCGUGUAUCAAGCCACUAUCUUUAAGGUUAUAUUCACCCCCACUUAUCUUCAGUGUGCAAACGAGUUCCAAGCAAAUUAACCUCGAGGAUACAAUGAAGCCAAUGACUAUUUGCGUUUUGCACUGACGAGAAUAGUCCACUAUGCACUGAGUAAUGUAUAACAAAAACUCAAUUUCUACAAAGGAUUUCUGCAGCAAUACUUUAUAGAAUAAUCUAAUAAUAUUAGAAAAUGAAGGAUGAGAAGAAAUAAUAUUAGAAUUUGUUGAUAUGAUUUCCAAAUGAAAUCCCAUUCCUAUUUAUAGGAAUUUUCAUGUCUCUUCAUAGAGACAUCUUUCAAUAGGUGUCUUUAUGAAUAAAUAAAUAAUAAUAAUUAUUCAUUUAAUUUUGUAACUAUUCAAAUAAUAUUUUUUGAAUAGUUAUAAUUCUUUUUUUAAAAAAAUCAAAUGAUAUAACUUUUGACCAAUGACCAAAAGUUUUAUCUUUUGAUUAAUUACACCCAUUCAUUUAUAGUUAUUGGGAUACUAUAAAUAUUUGAAAAUAUUCCAACAAAAUAUGUGUUGUUAGUUAAUAUCAUUCUCAAAUUCAAUCCUUCCAUAAUUCAAGUCUCAUACCAUACAAAUACUAAAAAUAUCUCAGCAUAGAUGAGAGCCAGGAUCAAAUCAAAGUUUGUGACAAAACUUGUCUAGAAUGAUGAGAAUUUACCUUGAAUCCUCCAUUUCAUGCAGUUUCCUCCCAUUUUCUUAUGUUGACGAGGAAAUUUUCCAAGUCAACUAAACUGUUGACACCAUUUUUUUGAUUGAAAAACAGGGUCGACUUGGGUUUUGAAAAUGAAAACGGGAGUCGCCACCAGUCUUUUUUAUAAGGUGUUAUUGGAUCACCUUGCAAAGCGGUUGUUUUUAAUAAACAAUUUAAUUUUAUUAAAACAACGAUUUUGGUCCACGAAAUUCAAAAAACGGGUUCAGGAGUCGGUUACGCACGAGGAAGGAUUAGCACCCUCGAUACGCCCAAAAUUGGUACUUAGUUGAUUACUUAAAAUUUUUUUUAUUUUCGUUUUUUGGCAAAUGUAUACUGUUUUUUUAUAUAUAUGUAAAUAUAUGUAUAUAUAUAAAUAUAAAAAGAACAGAUGCAAAAAAAGAGAUGUGAAAAAGAAACCUUGAAACUUGUUUUUUUUUUAUUUCUUUUAAAGUUCUUGUACCAAAAUCUAAAAAAAAAAACCCCUAAAAUACAUUUUUCGUUGGCUUUUAUAGCCAAUCUUUGCUACCGUUUCUUGUCUUUUCUUCUUUGAUUUUACAAGUGCAAGUGGGCGGUGGAAGGCAAGUGAUGGGACAGUGGCGGUGGCACUAGGUCGGCGACCAGCAGGGCAGAGAAGACCCUAGGUGCAGCGCACCUAGGGUUUGAAAAUUUUUAAUUUUUUGUUUCUGAUUUGGGUUUCUGGGCUAGGGUUAGAUUUGGGCUUAUUAAGCUUUUUGUUUUCUGAUUUGGGCUGUGGUGUAUUGGGCUAGGCUAGUUGGGUCUGGGGCUGUUUGGUUAGGGUAAUGGGUUGUUUGUAAUUGGGCCCCGGGUCAAAAAUUGGGCCCUACAUAAACUGUUCAGUAAAUAAAAGAUUAAUGAUGCGAUCGGUCUUAUUAAAUCGUUUCAAGAUUUUUUUUAGUGGCAAUUACUAAUUACAAGUGGAAACACGAAAUGAAACUCAAGGUAGCAGAUACAAGACAACCUUGAGUUUGAGUUGGUAUGCACGAUAUUGCCGAGAUAUUACAUGAAGGGUACUAAAAUUAUUAAAAAAAAUGUUUCUUUUUGGGACAAUCAAAUAUUAGUUUUCAGCUUUAAAUACUUGUAAUCAAUAAUAAAUCCCUCGGAGGUUUUGCAGGUCGAUAUUAGAUGGUCUUUGUUUAUGAGGUUGAGCCUGCAAGGUAUGGAAACUUUGUUUAUAUCCGAUUUCCAGUGAUGGUGAUGAUAAAUUAGCUGUAAUCCCUAAACCUGGAAUGGCCAGAUAGUGGUGAAAUGAACUUUUGGUAGCUUUGUCUAUAGGGAUAAUAUAUUUUCUCCCUUAGCUAGUUUCACUUCGAUUUUGGUCUUAAAUUUAAAAAUUAUAAAAUUUUGAUCUGAUGCACCCUAAGAUCACGUCAAAUAGUCACUUGAAAAUUGUAAAUUUAUAUAAAUUUUUAUGUGAUAAGUUAGAAUAAUUUUAAAGUGUUACAUACAAUGUUUUAAUAAUUGGAUAGGUGGUUGAAUAGGUUAGACCAUCGAUUUCUUAUCCAAUCAGUUUGAUCGGUUCGACCAUUGGACCAACAAUACUUAAAAAUUCAUAAAAAUAUAAAAAAAUUAAAAAGAUAAAAAAUUAUUAAAUCGGUUAAACAUGUUCAACUGUCAAUUUUUGUUUCGGUUUUUUAUUUUCACCAAUUUCAAGUCAAUUGAUUCAACCCAUUUGUUCGAACUGUUAAUCGAUCAGUUCUCAGUCCAUCUGAUCUGAUUAUGUUCCAGUAACAUUGGUCACGUUAUCAAAUCUUGACAGAAUUUGAGUUAAAUGACCAAAAUAAAUCUAAUUACCAAAUUCAAUAAUCGAAAAUAUAAAUAUCAAAAUAAACCUAAUUAUCACAUUCAAGUAAAAAUAUAUAUUAUACCUUUACGUUAAUGUCCAAAGUUAAGCCAUUUGUUUAAACCGAAAAGCCUCGAAAAAAAAUUGUUUAUUAUGAUAUGAAUGGUUUGAAGGUUAUUACCAAACAAUUUGUAUUACCUGUAAUUGAAUUACUAAAACAGGAAAAAAAUUAUUUAUUUUAUUUUUUAAAUAUUAUAAAAAAUAAUUGUUAUACAUCUAUAAUAAUAUUUGAGAUAUUUCUAACAACAUUUAAAAUUUAGAUUAUAUUUAAUUUUUUAUUUUAAAUUUAAAAAUUAUAAUGUAUUAAUAAUAUUAUUACUUAAUGAGACUUAGAUUGCAUUUUUAGUAAAAUUUACAAAUAUAAUUUUUUGUAUUAAAGACUGUUUUUAUUUAAUAAAUUAAAAUUAAUAUAUUUUCAUUUACAAUUUAAACAUUUUAUUAAAAUAAUAUCUUAAGUAAAAAAAAUAUUUUUAUUUCGUGUAAGAAUAGAAUUUUUUUUACUAAAAUUUAAGACAAUAGGAUGUUUUAAAUGAUUAAUUUAGUAAGUUGUUAUUGUUAUUGUUAUAAAUGAAAAGUUGGUAUAGAUGAAAAAAAUAAAGCAUAAAUAACCAGUUUGUUAUAAUGAAAUGUUGUUAUAGAUGUUGGUUGUUAUAAAGAGUUGAUAGAACUCACACUCUAUCAAUUUGAGAUUGAGCUUAAUAGAUGAUAAGCUAUAAAAGUAACAUAUUUUAAUCUCAUUCUUAAUGCGUUUUUGGAUGAUUAAUUAUACAAAUUAGUGAAUAUGAUGUUUCUAAUCCGUUAAAUUCAUGUUUCUAUACUUAGGAGAGCAUUUGGGAGUGGAAGGAGCGAAAAACGAGCCAAAAUCGGACAAAUAAAGCUAUUUUCAAGAGCCACAUGACCUGGGCAUUUCCACACGGGCUAGGCAUAUGCUCAUGUGAGCCACACGGGUUUGACACACGCCCAUGUGUCAUCCCAUGUUGAUUUCGCAUCAUUUUUCCCAAAUACGUGGAAAAACCUAAUUUUUAGGCUUUCUAAGCAUUCUAAAGUCUAUAAAUACCCACUAUAAGAAGACAUAAGAGGGCAAUUAGAGAAGAUCGAAGAAAACACUCAAAGGACACCAUCGGAAUCAACUAGGAAGCGGGUCUCCAUCAAGAUCAAAGAUCUCCUUUUAAUUUCUUUCGAAGUUUUAUUAAGUUUCUUCUGUCUUGUGAUUAUUCUAACUUUGAGAUGUUUUUAUUCAGGAUUAUGAACUAACUCCCUAGAUAACUAGGGAGGAUGAAACCUAUGAUGAAUCCUUUUAUUUAAUUUCUGUUUUUAUGCGAUAAAUACUUGAUUCUUGUUCUCAAUUAUGUAUGCUUAUUUCUUAUUUUAAAAUUUCUGGGAUAUUAAUUUAUGUUUAGUGUGCUUAUUCCAGUGGAGGAAAAGUUCCUGUUUAAUAGUAGAUCUGGCAUAAUUGAGUGGAGUUGCAUGCAAUCUUAGAAAUAGAACGACAUAAAUCUACCGGAUUAGAGUCAAAUCUAAUAGGGGAAUCCAUAGAUCGAGUUAAUACGACGAUAAGGGUUUUAAUUAGAAAGAAAUUUCAAUUAAUCAACCAAGAGUCAGUUGUUCUUAACCCUCGAAAGAGAUAUUAACAUAAUUUAGGGAUUUCUACGGAUCAAGACACAAGUGAAUAAAUCGUUUAACUCAGAUUCAUAAUAAUAGGUAAAGUCUAAGUGGAAUCUUUCCUGGAUAUUAUCUAUCUCAUUGGUUAAUAUUUGACUAUUUCUUUGAUUCAUUCUCUGUUGCGUUCUUAGUUAAAUUAGUUUAGUAAAUUUAGAUUAAAACACAUCACCCCAUAUUGUCGGCUAAAUAAUAGAAAAAUAGUAAUUACUAGUACUUUUAGUCUUCGUGGAUAAAUAUUCCCUACUCACCAUAGUUAUACUAUUGUUCGAUAGGUGCACUUGCCUUUGUCAUAUUUAUAGUUAGUUUUGUGACCAUCAGUAGAGAAGAUUAAGUGGUAGAAAGUUGAGAACGACUAAGUCUACCUAAUCUAAAAACAUAAAUAUAAUUCGGGUAAAGAGUUUAUUGUUAUAAAUAUCACUAUGGCUAGAUUUUUUAAAGAAAAUUUUAAAUUUCCAUUGUGCUUCUAAACAUUGUUUUCAAACAUAUUUUUCCAACAAAGGAAACGCAAGAGAAGGCUAAGUAAACAUGUGAAAGGCUUAAGUGAGAAAAGGAGAAAAGAUCCAUCAUACAUCUGUGUUGGGGUAUAUAUAAAGGAAGCCCCUCUUAUCUAGUAGUGUCAUGCCAUCGACAGUACGAAUAAUGGUCUGUUUGUUGGUAGGCUAGGUGGCAAGUUUGUUACAUGUUAGUUGUCGUCAAGUAUAGUAUUACGGGGUCUUGUUUUGACAUUUCCUUUACAAAGAUAGUACGAGAUUGUUAUGUUUUAGUGUUCUCCAUGGACAAUCUGUACCGAGUGACCAAAAGCAAUGUGGCUCCCCUUACAAGUGGUGUGAGGCGUGCAUGCGGCGGGUCAUGAAUGAUCAGUCAGAUAGUCAUUAUUGAUGGUACAAGAUAAAGGGCUAUCCGUGGGCGCCUCCUAAAUCGCUUCUCAUGCUACCAUAUCUAAUCAGAGAUACGGACAUAACAGUUACUUACUUUAAGAAAAAAAAACAAUUAGGUACUUAGAUGAAAAAGUUGUGGAAAAUUUUUCAUAUAAACUUUUCAUGAAGAAAAAAGUAGCAUGUUUGGCCCAAAUGACAUGGGAAAGGUCUAAUAUACUCCAGAUUCCAGAGCCUGCCUCAUAAGCCGAAUUCGGCUUUACUCUGAACGGUGCCUUUCUCAUUUGGACGUUUUCCGUUAUAAUCUCAACUCUCAAUUUCUUUCUUUCUCUUCUCUCUGUCUUAGGGCUUUAAUAAGCGAGGCGAAAAUAUGGAACACGGACCGUCGGGCGGUUCGACGGCGAUGAGAAGAAGAAGUGGCGUGAGAGGUGGGGCAAGGAUGGAGUGCCUCGAACAUGAUAUACUUUGUAUCAUCUUCUCCUUCCUCGACGUCUUCGACCUCGUUCGCUGCACUGCCGUUUGCAAAUCCUGGUACUCUUUCUCUCUCUCUGGUUCUGCUCUCUCAAUUUUUCUUUUUAAAUUCAAGGAUUUUACCUUACUUGCUUCUUUUUUUGUUUUACUUUUAUUAAGGAAUGCAGUCAUUAGAAAGUCUGAGUUAUUGCUAGUAUUGUAUUUCAAGCUGCGGCGGGAUUCUGGUGAGUCUACUUCUUCAGGGCAACAGAAAUCAAUGGAAUUUGGUCUACAAGAAGUAGCCAUGAAGUAUCAUAGGCUAUGUUUACAAAGAGGUCGCAUAAUAUACAUCAUUUAAGGUUAAAACCUUUCCAAAAGUGAAUUGUAGUUCAACAGACCCUUUGCCUUUAAUUGUUGCGGUGGAAGAAUUUCCCAUGUACAAGACAUUGUCAUUUUCACAUUGUGUGAACUUUGUGAACAUGCUUUUGUCUUUGCACACAUGUUUGGUUGCUCCGGUAUCAAUCCAC
This 7396-nucleotide long non-coding RNA is filed under the name Gossypium barbadense (sea-island cotton). RNAcentral's name for it is "long non-coding RNA (GBAR_LNC018699)". Lineage: Eukaryota; Viridiplantae; Streptophyta; Magnoliopsida; Malvales; Malvaceae. The record is from RNAcentral.